GCCCUACGGGAGGCAGCAGUGGGGAAUAUUGCGCAAUGGGGGCAACCCUGACGCAGCAACGCCGCGUGAUUGAAGAAGGCCUUCGGGUUGUAAAGAUCUUUGAUCUGGGACGAAUUUUGACGGUACCCGAAGAAUAAGCUCCGGCUAACUACGUGCCAGCUGCCGCGGUAAUACGUAGGGAGCAAGCGUUAUCCGGAUUUAUUGGGUUUAAAUGGUGCGUAGGCGGGCUUUUAAGUCAGCGGUAAAAAUUCGGGGCUCAACCCCGUCCGGCCGUUGAAACU
This 281-nucleotide ribosomal RNA is filed under the name uncultured bacterium. RNAcentral describes it as "partial 16S ribosomal RNA". It matches the Rfam family "Bacterial small subunit ribosomal RNA", at positions 335 to 634 of the family's 1533-position model. The record is from RNAcentral.